UUUAAGUAAUAAAAAAAGAAAAAGUUGUUCAGGGGAUUCCUCCGAGCCUCGGAAAGCACUAAUGCUUUCAUAGCUUCUAACUGGUUAUACCGUUAGUAAAGCCCCAAUUUAAUAUAAAUCAUAGUAACUUACAAUACGGUUCAAUUUCAUUUAACCAACUAUUAUAAAUAUUUUGUUAGGACUUGCAAGUAUAAAUACUAGUCUUUUAUGUUUAGGAAUCAUUCGUUAAACGACAAUAAGCAACUGAAGUCUCUUUUGAAACUAAAAAUGAAUUUUGCAAAGAUAUUUGUUUUCUUAUUCGUUUGUGUUGCGGCUGUUAUGACUGUUAACGCUGAUCCAGCGCCAAGAUGGAAACCGUUUAAGAAACUGGAAAAACUAGGACAGCGAGUAAGGGAUGGUAUCAUCAAAGCGGGGCCAGCAGUUGGAGUCAUAGGUCAAGCCAGCACAAUAAUUAAAGGCUAAUGUUAAUUACGUAAGCGUAAAGUGAACCAAUAAUGUUAUUUUAAAUUAUAAGAAUUAAAUUAUUAUCAUUGCAGA
Molecule: long non-coding RNA, 537 nt
Organism: Vanessa tameamea
Lineage: Eukaryota; Metazoa; Arthropoda; Insecta; Lepidoptera; Nymphalidae
Exons: 2
Source: RefSeq, a predicted model, not a curated record